RNAcentral lists this ribosomal RNA (492 nucleotides) under uncultured bacterium. Its description in RNAcentral is "partial 16S ribosomal RNA". It matches the Rfam family "Bacterial small subunit ribosomal RNA", at positions 30 to 507 of the family's 1533-position model. The record is from RNAcentral.
AUUGAACGCUGGCGGCAUGCUUUACACAUGCAAGUCGAACGGUAACAGGCCUUCGGGUGCUGACGAGUGGCGAACGGGUGAGUAAUGCAUCGGAACGUGCCCAGAGGUGGGGGAUAACGCAGCGAAAGCUGUGCUAAUACCGCAUGUGAUCUGAGGAUGAAAGCGGGGGACCAGGCAGCAAUGUUUGGCCUCGCGCCUUUGGAGCGGCCGAUGUCAGAUUAGGUAGUUGGUGGGGUAAAGGCCUACCAAGCCGACGAUCUGUAGCUGGUCUGAGAGGACGACCAGCCACACUGGGACUGAGACACGGCCCAGACUCCUACGGGAGGCAGCAGUGGGGAAUUUUGGACAAUGGGCGCAAGCCUGAUCCAGCAAUGCCGCGUGCGGGAAGAAGGCCUUCGGGUUGCAAACCGCUUUUGUACGGAACGAAAAGGCUCUGGCUAAUACCUGGGGCUGAUGACGGUACCGUAAGAAUAAGCACCGGCUAACUACGUG